AUGACCGCUGAUAACCUGGAGCGUAGGGGUUGGCCUUCUAAUGGAAACUGCCCGUUGUGCCUCUCGACUCAUGAAGACUGUACACACCUUUUUGUGCAUUGUGCCUACACACAACAGGUUUGGAUGAAAUCCAGGGAAUGGACGCGCGCUGAUUUUCGAAUUCUGAAUGAUAGUUUCAUCAGUACAGAAGACUGGUGGCUGACUGCGCGAAAGGAGGUUCCCAAGAACGAUCGGCGCAAUUUUGACACCAUUACCAUACUGCUGCACUUGAGGAUUUGGAAGGAACAGAAUGCCAGAGUUUUUGAGCAUGUGGCAUGUAGCAUUGACAGGUUGUUGGAUCUAAUCAAAGAUGAUAUUAGGGCUUGGAGAGCUACUGGCUGUGUUAGCGAUCUCUUUUAG
RNAcentral lists this ribosomal RNA (399 nucleotides) under Triticum aestivum (bread wheat). RNAcentral describes it as "partial small subunit ribosomal RNA". The record is from RNAcentral. Lineage: Eukaryota; Viridiplantae; Streptophyta; Magnoliopsida; Poales; Poaceae.